Molecule: long non-coding RNA, 2140 nt
Filed under: Elaeis guineensis (African oil palm)
Lineage: Eukaryota; Viridiplantae; Streptophyta; Magnoliopsida; Arecales; Arecaceae
Description: long non-coding RNA (EGUI_LNC017386)
Source: RNAcentral
AACAGUAAAAGUAUUACAUGAGGGGUCAACUUUUAAGUUGCACAUGAUCCACAUUGAUAAGAUCAAGAAUCAAUCUAGUAACAUGCCAUGAUAAACUACAGAUGUCAAGUGUUUGACUAUUUCUGAAAUAAUGAUCAGUAAAUGGGCCUUUCUCCCUAGCCACAUAGGAGAACUGUUACUGUUACCCUGCAAAGAACAAGGACAAGAUUUUCCUACAAUCAGUGUUACAGUAGAUGGUACAAUCAUUUGCUGCAUCCAGAAAAUAUAACUUUGGGGUUCUUAGAAAAGAACUUAAAGAGUAACUUGCAUCAUUUCUGUUACAAAAUCAGUAUGCAAAAGAAAGAUUGGUGAUGCAUAGCCCAUCUCAUCCUCAAUCUUAGUGUGUUCUUUUGGAUUCAAAAAGAGUUAAGACAUUUAAGUAAAAACAGAGGAAACUAGAAACUAACAAAUCUUAAGUGUUAGACAAAAUACUAUUAUUCCCAUCUUUUUGAUUGACUCUUUGAAAUCCACAACAAUCUUAGAAUACCAUUCCCUUCAAUUCGUAUAAAUGAGAUGAACAAACUCUAAUUAUAAGCUCUAGCCAGCAUACAGUCAAUGGUAGCAUGCUUAGUCACCUGGGCUGAAAGAAAAAAAAAAUGACAUCUUCCAUAGAUUACCUUAUAGAAAGAUUCCAUGUGGACAACCUCUAGCUAAAUUUCUAGAAAUGUAGAAAUAAACCAGUAAUUUAGUCAAAUGCCAAUUUUACGAGCAAUAAAAUGGUUGACUUCCUCACCAAGAGGAAAAAAGUCAGGAGGGCAUUGGUAAUAGGAAGCACAAAUGUAAGAGGAAAACUCAAAUCAAGACCUGGCCUGUAUUACAAAAGCUGAAUUUUGAAGAGAAUUUCCCCAUGACAAGUACAAAUUUCAAGCUGUUAGUCAGGUCAUCCAGAGCAUCUUCUGUGACUGCAAUCAGCUAAAAGCAUAAAAUGCUUGCUAACAGCUUCCAGGCAACAAGCCUAAAUGUUCAUUUCUUUAAAUUUGUUAUAAAAAACUAACAUUGGCUUUUUCCAAAAUCAUCGAUCUAGAUAGCAUUGUGAAUUGUCAUGUCUUGCAGAGUUAAUCUUUGUUGAGUCUAAGGAAAGAAUAAAUUCGAGGUCUGAGAUAUUGGUUUCAAAUCUGUCCCUUUUCUCAGAGCUUUGGUUUCUGCACUUUUGGCAGUUCCACUCCAAGUUUUACAGUUUCACCUGAAAAGUUUAAAAAAAUAAUUCAAAAACCCAUUACCAAAUUAAAAAAAGGUAGAAGAAACAAAUUACAUCAGCAUUUUGAAAGAUGAACGCAUUCUUUUGGAAAAUAUCUGUGUAUAACUUUGCAGGCUUCAGGCUAAGGAAAAAAGCAGUAAUAAUAGAAUUACUCAAUUACAUAAAUCAACGAAAACAUGUUUCAUGUCAUUAGUGAGUGCCAUAUAUCAUGUUCCAUUUUUACUGUCAUAGUUGAUAAAACUUUUUAGACAUUCUUCAGAAUUUUCCACGAUCUUUAAAUUUAGAAAAUGAAGGAGAAAAAGGAUAUGGAAAAUGCUAACAAAUUAUAGUUCCCAUAGUUGCUGUAUUCAUGAAACAUCCCAAAAUCAACUACAAAGCUGAAUUUUGAAGAUAAUUUCCCCAUAACAAGCACAAAUUUCAAGCUGUGAGUCAUGUCAUCUAGAGCACCUUCUGUGACUGCAAUCAGCUAAAAGCAUUAGAAUGCUUGUUAACAGCUUCCAGGCAACAAGCCUAAAAGUUCAUUUCUUUAAAUUUGUUAUGAAAAAAUAAUAUUGGCUUCCAUAGUCAUCGCAUCUAGAUAGCUUAGUGAAUUGUCAUGUCUUGCAGAAUUAAUCUUUGUUGAGUCUAAGGAAGAAUAAAUUCAGGAUCUGAAGUAUUGGUUUCAGAUUGGUCCCUUUUCUCAGAGCUUUGGUUUCUGCACUUUUGGCAGUUUCACUCCGAGUUCUACAGUUUCAGCUGAAAAGUUAAAAAAAAUAUUCAAAAACCCAUUACCAUAUUAACAAAAGGUAGAAGAAACAAAUUACAUCAGCAUUUUGAAAAAUGAACACAUUCUUUUAGACAAGAUCUGUGUAUAAAUGUUGCAGGCUUCAGGCUAAGGAGGAAAAAAAAAAAUGUAGUAACAAU